GUACGUAUCAACACAUUUGAAAAUGUCAGACUGGGAAGAAGAAGUUUUCUCACUGGGAAUUGAACACCUGGUGUGAGAAAAUCUAACAGAAAGGGUAUGUUUGCAUUGAAAUAGUAAAUUCCUUAGAUAUGAAGAGAUCAAGAGCCUUAUAAACUUCAUACCAUGCAGCUCCAUCUGCAGAGAGUUGGUUCCACACCACAAAGAGUGUUAAACAUAUAUCAACAUGGUACAACAGGAAAAGUAAAUCAACAAUAAAGGGGAGAAACCAGGAAUAAGAAGAGAAAAGGCAGGGGAAAGACGAGUCCAUAAAACUCUAUUCCAUAUGAUCUUGGACCAGAGUUGGAAUUUUCACAGAACAGAUAUGAGUACUGCUCACUUUUUAAACAAAAAAGUACUGAUUUGGAGAUAUUAAAUGAUACCACCCUCUUUACCCAAAUAAAAACUGGAAGUUGAGAUCCAACACCUAUUCCAGACAAAAUGUUGUAACAAGGUGGUUUUCAAGGUAAAUGUGAACUCAAUUUCAUGGCCAAAGUCAGAAAAUUUUUAAUAAAAGAGUAUAAAAUAAAGCAUAACUGAACAAAACAAGUAUAUUUGUGAAACAUUUGCUUCAAUUGUCAUGUAAAUAGAGAGAAAGACCUGGAUCAUUGCUAUAGACUGAGGGUGUCCCACCAAAUCUCCACCCAGA
Canis lupus familiaris (dog) is the source of this 685-nucleotide long non-coding RNA. RefSeq lists it as uncharacterized. The transcript is spliced from 4 exons. The record is from RefSeq and is a predicted model, not a curated record. Lineage: Eukaryota; Metazoa; Chordata; Mammalia; Carnivora; Canidae.